GCCGGGCAUGGCGAUGCGUGCCUGUAAUCCCAGCUACUCAGGAGGCUGAGGCAGAAGAAUCUCUUGAACCCGGGAGGCAGAGGUUGCAGUGUGCCAAGAUCAUGCCACUGCACUCCAGCCUGGGUGACAGAGCGAGACUCUGUCUCAA
This 148-nucleotide non-coding RNA is filed under the name Homo sapiens (human). The record is from Rfam by way of RNAcentral. Lineage: Eukaryota; Metazoa; Chordata; Mammalia; Primates; Hominidae.